GGUUAAGCGACUAAGCGUACACGGUGGAUGCCCUGGCAGUCAGAGGCGAUGAAGGACGUGCUAAUCUGCGAUAAGCGUCGGUAAGGUGAUAUGAACCGUUAUAACCGGCGAUUUCCGAAUGGGGAAACCCAGUGUGAUUCGUCACACUAUCAUUAACUGAAUCCAUAGGUUAAUGAGGCGAACCGGGGGAACUGAAACAUCUAAGUACCCCGAGGAAAAGAAAUCAACCGAGAUUCCCCCAGUAGCGGCGAGCGAACGGGGAGCAGCCCAGAGCCUGAAUCAGUGUGUGUGUUAGUGGAAGCGUCUGGAAAGGCGCGCGAUACAGGGUGACAGCCCCGUACACAAAAAUGCACAUGCUGUGAGCUCGAUGAGUAGGGCGGGACACGUGGUAUCCUGUCUGAAUAUGGGGGGACCAUCCUCCAAGGCUAAAUACUCCUGACUGACCGAUAGUGAACCAGUACCGUGAGGGAAAGGCGAAAAGAACCCCGGCGAGGGGAGUGAAAAAGAACCUGAAACCGUGUACGUACAAGCAGUGGGAGCACGCUUAGGCGUGUGACUGCGUACCUUUUGUAUAAUGGGUCAGCGACUUAUAUUCUGUAGCAAGGUUAACCGAAUAGGGGAGCCGAAGGGAAACCGAGUCUUAACUGGGCGUUAAGUUGCAGGGUAUAGACCCGAAACCCGGUGAUCUAGCCAUGGGCAGGUUGAAGGUUGGGUAACACUAACUGGAGGACCGAACCGACUAAUGUUGAAAAAUUAGCGGAUGACUUGUGGCUGGGGGUGAAAGGCCAAUCAAACCGGGAGAUAGCUGGUUCUCCCCGAAAGCUAUUUAGGUAGCGCCUCGUGAAUUCAUCUCCGGGGGUAGAGCACUGUUUCGGCAAGGGGGUCAUCCCGACUUACCAACCCGAUGCAAACUGCGAAUACCGGAGAAUGUUAUCACGGGAGACACACGGCGGGUGCUAACGUCCGUCGUGAAGAGGGAAACAACCCAGACCGCCAGCUAAGGUCCCAAAGUCAUGGUUAAGUGGGAAACGAUGUGGGAAGGCCCAGACAGCCAGGAUGUUGGCUUAGAAGCAGCCAUCAUUUAAAGAAAGCGUAAUAGCUCACUGGUCGAGUCGGCCUGCGCGGAAGAUGUAACGGGGCUAAACCAUGCACCGAAGCUGCGGCAGCGACGCUGAUGCGUUGUUGGGUAGGGGAGCGUUCUGUAAGCCUGUGAAGGUGUGCUGUGAGGCAUGCUGGAGGUAUCAGAAGUGCGAAUGCUGACAUAAGUAACGAUAAAGCGGGUGAAAAGCCCGCUCGCCGGAAGACCAAGGGUUCCUGUCCAACGUUAAUCGGGGCAGGGUGAGUCGACCCCUAAGGCGAGGCCGAAAGGCGUAGUCGAUGGGAAACAGGUUAAUAUUCCUGUACUUGGUGUUACUGCGAAGGGGGGACGGAGAAGGCUAUGUUGGCCGGGCGACGGUUGUCCCGGUUUAAGCGUGUAGGCUGGUUUUCCAGGCAAAUCCGGAAAAUCAAGGCUGAGGCGUGAUGACGAGGCACUACGGUGCUGAAGCAACAAAUGCCCUGCUUCCAGGAAAAGCCUCUAAGCAUCAGGUAACAUCAAAUCGUACCCCAAACCGACACAGGUGGUCAGGUAGAGAAUACCAAGGCGCUUGAGAGAACUCGGGUGAAGGAACUAGGCAAAAUGGUGCCGUAACUUCGGGAGAAGGCACGCUGAUAUGUAGGUGAAGUCCCUCGCGGAUGGAGCUGAAAUCAGUCGAAGAUACCAGCUGGCUGCAACUGUUUAUUAAAAACACAGCACUGUGCAAACACGAAAGUGGACGUAUACGGUGUGACGCCUGCCCGGUGCCGGAAGGUUAAUUGAUGGGGUCAGCGCAAGCGAAGCUCUUGAUCGAAGCCCCGGUAAACGGCGGCCGUAACUAUAACGGUCCUAAGGUAGCGAAAUUCCUUGUCGGGUAAGUUCCGACCUGCACGAAUGGCGUAAUGAUGGCCAGGCUGUCUCCACCCGAGACUCAGUGAAAUUGAACUCGCUGUGAAGAUGCAGUGUACCCGCGGCAAGACGGAAAGACCCCGUGAACCUUUACUAUAGCUUGACACUGAACAUUGAGCCUUGAUGUGUAGGAUAGGUGGGAGGCUUUGAAGUGUGG
Molecule: ribosomal RNA, 2141 nt
Filed under: Escherichia coli
Lineage: Bacteria; Pseudomonadati; Pseudomonadota; Gammaproteobacteria; Enterobacterales; Enterobacteriaceae
Description: partial 23S ribosomal RNA
Rfam family: Bacterial large subunit ribosomal RNA
Source: RNAcentral